RNAcentral lists this ribosomal RNA (373 nucleotides) under uncultured bacterium. RNAcentral describes it as "bacterial SSU rRNA". It matches the Rfam family "Bacterial small subunit ribosomal RNA", at positions 29 to 423 of the family's 1533-position model. The record is from RNAcentral.
AGCGAACGCUAGCGGCGGGCCUAACACAUGCAAGUCGAGCGGGGGAGCAAUCCCCAGCGGCGGACGGGUGAGUAACACGUAGGUUAUGUGCCCCUUGGUGGGGAAUAACCGUGGGAAACCAUGGCUAAUUCCGCAUAUCGAGCGAAAUCUUGAAAGCCUUCGGGCGCCAAAAGGAGCAACCUGCGGCCCAUUAGCUUGUUGGUAGGGUAACGGCCUACCAAGGCGAUGAUGGGUAGCUGGUCUGAGAGGAUGAUCAGCCACACUGGAACUGAGACACGGUCCAGACUCCUACGGGAGGCAGCAGCGGGGAAUAUUGCGCAAUGGGCGAAAGCCUGACGCAGCCACGCCGCGUGAGUGAUGAAGGCCUUCGGUC